GAUGAACGCUAGCUACAGGCUUAGCACAUGCAAGUCGAGGGGAAACGAUAUUGGAAGCUUGCUUCCGAUAGGCGUCGACCGGCGCACGGGUGAGUAACGCGUAUCCAACCUGCCCAUCACUUGGGGAUAACCUUGCGAAAGUAAGACUAAUACCCAAUGAUAUCUCUAGAAGACAUCUGAAGGAGAUUAAAGAUUUAUCGGUGAUGGAUGGGGAUGCGUCUGAUUAGCUUGUUGGCGGGGUAACGGCCCACCAAGGCGACGAUCAGUAGGGGUUCGGAGAGGAAGGUCCCCCACAUUGGAACUGAGACACGGUCCAAACUCCUACGGGAGGCAGCAGUGAGGAAUAUUGGUCAAUGGGCGAGAGCCUGAACCAGCCAAGUAGCGUGCAGGAUGACGGCCCUAUGGGUUGUAAACUGCUUUUAUAAGGGAAUAAAGUGAGUCUCGUGAGACUUUUUGCAUGUACCUUAUGAAUAAGGACCGGCUAAUUCCGUGCCAGCCGCCGCAGUAA
Molecule: ribosomal RNA, 508 nt
Filed under: uncultured bacterium
Lineage: Bacteria
Description: partial 16S ribosomal RNA
Rfam family: Bacterial small subunit ribosomal RNA
Source: RNAcentral